AUAUGCAUUUAAGUAUCAUAGAAAAUCAGAGGCCGGAAGGUAAAUUGUAUAUCCAGUAAAUGCAAUUGCAUUUCACCCCAUCUAGCUUAUGUAUGAAAUAUGUCUGUGUCUGGCUCUUUCUUUCAGCUACACAAAGUUCUUGUUUCUGGAGAGAACAGCCAAGUGUAGACUUCAAAAAGAUUAGUGCUCAUGUUCACCAGUUCAAGGGUAGCAGCUCCACAUAAAUUUCCUCUUUUUUUUCUCUUAAAUAGAAUUUGAAUUUCAUGUUAUUUGUGGAUCAACUUUCUAGUACCAAAUACAUCACGAAAGGGUUAUAACAGUAGUUUGAAUUCACAGACUGAUGUCAA
Molecule: long non-coding RNA, 347 nt
Organism: Rosa rugosa (rugosa rose)
Lineage: Eukaryota; Viridiplantae; Streptophyta; Magnoliopsida; Rosales; Rosaceae
Exons: 3
Source: RefSeq, a predicted model, not a curated record